GAGACGCUUCACUGAACUGCUAAAUCAAUCCACCAGACCUAAACGUCCGGGCUUCUC
RNAcentral lists this transfer RNA (57 nucleotides) under Agama boulengeri. RNAcentral's name for it is "tRNA-Ser". Lineage: Eukaryota; Metazoa; Chordata; Lepidosauria; Squamata; Agamidae. The record is from RNAcentral.